Molecule: non-coding RNA, 2755 nt
Organism: Malus domestica (apple)
Lineage: Eukaryota; Viridiplantae; Streptophyta; Magnoliopsida; Rosales; Rosaceae
Source: RefSeq, a predicted model, not a curated record
AACUGACAAUCGGAGAGCACCGAUCACUACUUGUACCGAAGAAAACUUCACUCAGUUCUGAAGAAGCUCAGCGAGAGAGAGAGAGAGAGAUGGAGACGAAGCCGAAUGAGAUCAGCCGCUCGAAGAUGUUCGGAGGGUACAACAAGAGGUACAAGCAUUUCAGCCUUACGCUCGGCUGCUCCAUGACCUUCCACAUCUACUUUCCUCCUUCUCCUUCCCUUUCCCACCGAUUCCCUGUACUUUACUGGCUCUCUGGCCUUACCUGCACAGAUGAGAAUUUUAUAACUAAAUCAGGAGCUCAAUGUGUUGCCUCAAGUGAGGGUGUUGCUCUGAUUGCCCCUGAUACAUCUCCAAGAGGCUUGUCUAUAGAAGGAGAGGCGGAUAGCUGGGAUUUUGGUGUAGGUGCUAGAUUUUAUCUCAACGCUACUCAAGAGAAAUGGAAGAACUGGCGCAUGUACGACUAUGUUGUCAAGGAGUUGCCACAGCUUCUGAAUGAAAUUUUUUCACAGCUUGAUACAUCGCGGGCAUCUAUAUCUGGUCAUUCUAUGGGUGGGCACGGUGCUUUGACAAUUUACCUGAAAAACCUGGAUAAAUAUAAGUCGGUAUCUGCCUUUGCACCCAUUGUGAAUCCUGCAAACUGUCCAUGGGGCCAGAAAGCUUUCUCAAAUUAUCUAGGUGGUAAUAAAACCGAUUGGGAAGAAUAUGAUGCCACUUCCCUUGUUAAGAAGUUUAAUGAUGUGUCAGCUACCAUUUUAAUUGAUCAAGACAAUUGAAGUUGGAGCUGAACGAUUCCAGAUCCCUGAAAUUCCUUUUAGCCCAUCCAUGGUUCAGGAGAUUGAUGGUAUCGAGAAUGCUAAGAAUAUUGCUAGUCAUGCUGGUUUAACUGAAAUGGUUAUAAACUGCAUUAACAAGUGUGAGGGGUGUCAUCAUGCUGAACUUUAUAGCAAUAUACUGGUAAAAUGCAUGAAACCACUUUUUUUUUCUCCCAAGUAAUUAACCAAAAAAACAAUAGCAUAAAUCAAUUUAUUAUAUAGACAACAAGAUGUAAAUGAGUAUCUUUUGCUGACCUAAGGCCCCGUUUGGGGUUUGCUGUGCUUUUAGAAUAAGCUGUUUAUUUUGAGGACCUAAAGUGUUUGGUCGUUGAAGAUGUAGAAGUUGUGGGUCAAAACAGGGGAAAGAGUGCUUCUAAAAAAAUGAUUUGAACAGAAGCGGAGCCGUUUAAUUAAAUAUGUAUGUAUUGUCCUCGCUUGUUUUCAGAAAUGACGUGAAUUACCCUGCACAGUUUUCACCCUCGGUGAAAACUAGUUUCAAAGGAAAAUGCUUGGGUACUCACUAGUAAGUACUCAUCUUUUGGUUUUGUCAAAUACUAUUUUAACACUUGCUUUAUUGUUUAAAAAAAUAAUGAACAUGUUAUUUAAUUUUUCUUAGACUUAAAAACAAGAAACACGUGCCUUUUUUUAUUGGGCCAAAUAGAAAAGUGAGUACAUAGAGUACUCAUUAGUGACUACUGUAUUAUCUGGUUUCAAAUAUUGAACCUUGAGGUGUUGAUUGACAAGUGUGGCAAGAGAAAGUGUGGGGCAUCCAAUAUGGAGUUGUGAAACUUUACUUCACAGCUCAUUAUUCUUUUUUAUUUUUUCUUUUUAAGCUCAACAAUAUCAUAUGCUAGGCUUAGUGUUGCAAAUUAUAAUGGGCAUAUAAUAUGCAGACUUCCUAUUCGCAAUAAAAGUGCAUUCUCUCUAUGGGAUUCCUUGUCCUGCUUCAGGAACUAAUUUGGUUUCUUGUGUUUUUAUAUUAUACAGCUUACUUGAGGCACAACUUCAGUGCCACAGUUGAAGGAGCGUCUUCAGAAAGAUGUGUAGGAGGUAUGGCUUUUCAAAGAAGCACUGUAAUGGCUUUUGAUCUUUUAUAGGUUUUUCCCCACCAAUGUUUGAUUCUCGCUCCCUUAAUCAGUGACAGAUUGAGAGGAUUAAAAUAGGUGAAUUCUGUAAAGGGGGAAGUUAUUGCCCAUUCCCUAAAUUUCAAUUGACACUCCUUUUUAUUAUACUUUUUUAUGCACAGAAACUUUUGAAUAAUUUUGAGUGGAAGUAGUUAGAUUGAUAAAAUUUUGGGGAGUGCCAGUUUACAUUCUAAAAUUAUUCGUACUCAGUCUUGUAUGAGCCACUUUGACUCUUGGAGCAAAUUUUGGUGAUGUGGCUCUACAUAUUUAGUUGGAAAGUGGAUUUGUGGAGUUUGUUGGAGAUGCUCUUAUUGUAUGGAUGAAGCAUCAAAGUGUCAUCUUCUAUUUGCAGAGGUCUUCUUCCCAUCAAGUUAACGUAUUAACGAGACCGAGUAAAAGUAUGCAGUGUUUCUAGUUCUUCACUCUCUUUGUACAUGCUACAACAGAUAAAUUGUGUUCUAAUUUAUGUAGUAAACCUUCAUGCUGUAAUAAUAGUGGUAUUAUGAAAUUUAAUGUACGGAAAUACUUCCAUGCAAUUUGUCUUCCCUGCCUUGUUAUUUAUGCAGUGUUUGGGUAGGUGGUAGUCUAUUGGCAUGUCUUGGUUCAUUCCAGCGCAUGUGGUUAACCAAUGAGUAAGUGUCAUAUUUUAGUGUGUGCUUGCACUUUGACUAGUAUUGGAGUUACACAUCCUUAUUCUAUGAACGUUUAAGCCAUCAUGACAUGUGUGGCAGUUACCUAAUCAUAUUGUUGGAAAGCGUUACCUAAUCAUAUUUGGUAUCAUGUAAAUGUUAUUGAUAUAUUUGAAGACUAUGGGUAUGU